Molecule: long non-coding RNA, 424 nt
Organism: Alligator sinensis (Chinese alligator)
Lineage: Eukaryota; Metazoa; Chordata; Crocodylia; Alligatoridae
Exons: 3
Source: RefSeq, a predicted model, not a curated record
UAUAAAAGCCUGAAUUCUUGUUGUUCUUCAUCUGUACAGCACAUAGCACAACAUAGGUUGGAACCAGGACUUGGGCUACUAAGCAGUGCUGCAAAGAAAUUAUUAUUAUGACAUGACAGCAGCUACUGAAAAUAGUUGACUGCCUUUGGAGAGAGGAAUUACCCUGAAAUAGGAAUUUAGAAUUUGGACUGGAGUGAGGAUGAAAUAUGAUGCAAUUCUGACCUGCCAUGAGAGAACAUUUUGGUCGAAGACAUGGAUUGCAACAUAUAUCUAUGAGGAAUACAGACAUCUGUCUUUGAAUAUUUUACUCCUACCACAUGAUGGACAGAACAACUUAUUAUCCCAAUCCUCAUGUCCUGUUACAGGGACCUAAAAAUAAAGUGCACUUCUUACCUGGAUUUACAUCUAUCACCUCUUUAUUACA